Molecule: unclassified non-coding RNA, 298 nt
Organism: Callithrix jacchus (white-tufted-ear marmoset)
Lineage: Eukaryota; Metazoa; Chordata; Mammalia; Primates; Cebidae
Rfam family: Metazoan signal recognition particle RNA
About the family: The signal recognition particle (SRP) is a universally conserved ribonucleoprotein. It is involved in the co-translational targeting of proteins to membranes.
Source: Ensembl
GCCGGGCGCGGUGGCGCGUGCCUGUGGUCCCAGCUACUCGGAUGGCUGAGGUGGGAGGAUCAUUUGAGCCAGGAGUUCUGGACUGUAGUGCACUACGCCGAUUGGGUGUCCGCACUAAGUUUGGCAUCAAUAUGGUGACCUCCCGGAAGCAGGGGACCACCAGGUGGCCUAAGGAGGGUGAACCAGCCCAGAUCGGAAACAGAGCAGGUCAAAACUCCCAUGCUGAUCAGUAGUGGGAUCACGCCUGUGAAUAGCCACUGCACUCCAGCCUGGGCAACAUAGUGAGACCCUGUCUCAA